Molecule: ribosomal RNA, 737 nt
Filed under: uncultured bacterium
Lineage: Bacteria
Description: bacterial SSU rRNA
Rfam family: Bacterial small subunit ribosomal RNA
Source: RNAcentral
AGGGUUUGAUCCUGGCUCAGAUUGAACGCUGGCGGCAGGCCUAACACAUGCAAGUCGAGCGAGAAAGCACUUCGGUGCGAGUACAGCGGCGGACGGGUGAGUAACGCGUAGGAAUCUACCCAGUAGUGGGGGACAACAGUCGGAAACGGCUGCUAAUACCGCAUACGCCCUAUGGGGGAAAGCGGGGGAUCUUCGGACCUCGCGCUAUUGGAUGAGCCUGCGUCGGAUUAGCUUGUUGGUGAGGUAAAAGCUCACCAAGGCGACGAUCCGUAGCUGGUCUGAGAGGAUGAUCAGCCACACUGGAACUGAGACACGGUCCAGACUCCUACGGGAGGCAGCAGUGGGGAAUAUUGCGCAAUGGGGGCAACCCUGACGCAGCCAUGCCGCGUGUGUGAAGAAGGCCCUAGGGUUGUAAAGCACUUUCAAUUGGGAAGAAAAGCUGCUGGUUAAUAACCAGUAGCCCUGACAUUACCUUUAGAAGAAGCACCGGCUAACUCCGUGCCAGCAGCCGCGGUAAUACGGAGGGUGCGAGCGUUAAUCGGAAUUACUGGGCGUAAAGCGCGCGUAGGCGGUUUGUUAAGUCAGCUGUGAAAGCCCUGGGCUCAACCUGGGAACUGCAGUUGAUACUGAUCGACUAGAGUACGAGAGAGGGAGGUAGAAUUCCACGUGUAGCGGUGAAGUGCGUAGAUAUGUGGAGGAAUACCAGUGGCGAAGGCGGCCUCCUGGCUCGAUACUGA